AACGAACGCUGGCGGCAUGCCUAACACAUGCAAGUCGAACGAGACCUUCGGGUCUAGUGGCGCACGGGUGCGUAACGCGUGGGAACCUGCCCUUAGGUUCGGAAUAACUCCCCGAAAGGGGUGCUAAUACCGGAUAAUGUCUUCGGACCAAAGAUUUAUCGCCUUUGGAUGGGCCCGCGUUGGAUUAGCUAGUUGGUAGGGUAAAAGCCUACCAAGGCGACGAUCCAUAGCUGGUCUGAGAGGAUGAUCAGCCACACUGGGACUGAGACACGGCCCAGACUCCUCCGGGAGGCAGCAGUGGGGAAUGUUGGACAAUGGGCGAAAGCAUGAUCCAGCAAUGCCGCGUGAGUGAUGAAGGCCUUGGGGUUGUAAAGCUCUUUUACCCGGGAUGAUAAUGACAGUACCGGGAGAAUAAGCUCCGGCUAACUCCGUG
Molecule: ribosomal RNA, 433 nt
Filed under: uncultured bacterium
Lineage: Bacteria
Description: partial 16S ribosomal RNA
Rfam family: Bacterial small subunit ribosomal RNA
Source: RNAcentral